Long non-coding RNA from Gossypium raimondii (Peruvian cotton), 899 nucleotides. RefSeq lists it as uncharacterized. The transcript is spliced from 3 exons. Lineage: Eukaryota; Viridiplantae; Streptophyta; Magnoliopsida; Malvales; Malvaceae. The record is from RefSeq and is a predicted model, not a curated record.
UAAAACGAGACCAACAACUCACUUAUGUCAUGACUUUACUAUCAUAUCUUAAAAAGUAGAUAGAACCUUCCCGCACAGAAAACCUUUCAUUUCCGCUCAGUCCAGAAAAGAGAUCCCCCCCAACAGAACCAUAACGAUGUAGAUGCCCUAUCUCAGUCCAUCGAUUAUCAUCCUCCACUGCUUUCCUUACUGUUUCAGGGAUUUUUUUCCAUUAGUUUCUUCACCACUGUGAGACUAUCCCCUUCCAAAAUGACCCUUUGGAAGUCAAGAUCCAGGCCCAUUUGAACUCCUUGGAGGCAUGCAAUCGCUUCCCCCGCAAAAGAAGAAGAUGUCCUUGAAAAGAGGCGUCAAAAUGGAUCUUUACAAAUGUCUGUUCAGGAGGCCGCCAUCUCUCUUGUUGGACACAUCUAGCAGAUAAGCGGCUUUUGAUCGCCUCUAGUUCUUUUAGAUACGAUACUAUGGAUCGAACCAUAUCUAUGUUCUGUUUGAUUUUUCUUUCAUGCACUUGUUUGUUCCUAUCACUCCAAAUCACCCAAAUGGCAUAGAUAAUUUUUCUGCAUAAAUCUGAUGAAGAAUUCAUGAAUAACCAAUCCAUCCAUUGCUUGUAACUUGCACAAGACAUUUCUGUAGGCCACGAGAUAUCUAACAUACUCCAAAUCUCCUUGACAGCUUGACAGUCGCGGAAGGCAUGUUCAAGAGACUCAUCUUCUUGUGUACACCUGGGACAAGCAGCCGAAUUUCGCAACCUUCUUUUCUGUAAAUUUAUGUAGAUAUGGAUAAAAUUUCUGUAGGCUCUCCAAAAUGUAAUUUUAAUUUUUUCUGGGAGCUCUGUAAGCCAUAUUUUUUUUGUAUACCUGCUUAGAUGCUUUCUAUUGUAAGGUAGGCUCCACUUCAGCAAA